GUCAGAUUGGCCGAGCGGUCUAAGGCGCCAGACUUAAGUUCUGGUUCCCCAAAAGGAGCGUGGGUUCGAAUCCCACAUCUGACA
RNAcentral lists this transfer RNA (84 nucleotides) under Blattella germanica (German cockroach). RNAcentral's name for it is "tRNA-Leu (TAA) (tRNA-Leu-TAA-10-1)". It matches the Rfam family "tRNA". From Rfam's summary of the family: Transfer RNA (tRNA) molecules are approximately 80 nucleotides in length. Their secondary structure includes four short double-helical elements and three loops (D, anti-codon, and T loops). The record is from RNAcentral. Lineage: Eukaryota; Metazoa; Arthropoda; Insecta; Blattodea; Blattellidae.